This 15480-nucleotide long non-coding RNA is filed under the name Vitis vinifera (wine grape). RNAcentral describes it as "long non-coding RNA (VVIN_LNC003758)". The record is from RNAcentral. Lineage: Eukaryota; Viridiplantae; Streptophyta; Magnoliopsida; Vitales; Vitaceae.
GAAUUUUGGCUACUUGUCCAAGGCUUUAUAGAUUCCCUCUAGACGAACAGAUUCUAUUGUCCGAAAAUGCCAGUUAGGGGUCCGUUUGGGCAUCGACGCAAACCCUACCAAUCCAAAGCAUCUACUUCGAUGCACCGCUUUUAUUUUAUCUGUAUCCAAACGGGGACUUAGGACCUGCAUUUGGGAUGCAUUUCAUUUGCAUUUGCCCUCGAUUUAGCUUUCCUCCACCUUAUAUAAAUGUAUAAAAACCUUUUUUCCACCCAUUGGACUCCAUUCCCUGCUUCUACCCAACUCUAGGAAAAGCAGGCGCUUUGAGUUGAUCACUAUAGGUAAUCGUUUUCUUAUUUGUGUUUCUCUUUUCUUUGAUUUUGAUCGUUGAACAGGUUUGAUUCUCGGGACUUUGUUUUGAUCAUUUUUGGAUCUGCAAAAACAUCGACCUAUGCUUUUGUCUAAUACUGUUUGAUUUUAUUUUUUUCAUCUAUUGGGUGGAACAGGUUUAUUCGGUGGAUAUUUGCCUUUUCUGUUUGGUGUUUGUUUUCAAUCUGUGUUUUUUUCUGUUUGAUUGCCGAGAAAUGGUGAACAAUAAAUGGAAGUUUGAAUCCUAUCAGUUUUGAACUGGUUAUUGUGAGAUUCCAACUUUUUCUUUUGUUUUCCAACGAUUUCUCAGCAACCAAACGGGCAUGAAGUAUAGAGUUCAUCUUUGAUAUUUAUCUGGUUGUAGAUGUAGAUGAUCCAUAGGCUACUGGAUCAAGAUCUAGGGCUUUAUUGUGGAUAUUUGCUCAUUUUGCUUCAUUCAAUUUUUUAUUUUACCAUGUUUGGAUAGAGAAGAGGUUGAUAUGCAAAUCUGAAAAAAAAAAAAAGAAAAGAAAAGAAAAAAGAGCUGAAAGAAAAGCUGUUAGGAACCAAUAUUAAUUAUAAUUCUCUUUUGCUCAGUGCUUUGGUCCCUGCUUAGCACAGCCUUUCGGGUGCUGGAAAUCACUUCCACUUCCACUUCCACUUCCUUUGACUAUUCAAACUUGCUAUCAAGUCUCUAUUAAUGACUACAUUAAUUAUGUUGUGGCAAGUUUAGCAUUUGUGGGAUGCAUGUUUUAACUUUAGGGCAAGCUUUUUAAGGUUUUUUUAAUUGUAGGUACUAAAUGAAUAUUAGGACAUUUUGUUGUCAUAUUAUAACUUUCCCAAAAUAAUAUUAGGAUUAAGAGAUAUGUGAUAUUUUCUCCUCUCAAUAAUUGUUCACACACUAUAAAUCUUUGAAAGUUGCUUCAUGAUUUGCACUAAUUGUAGAGUGUUACCCUCAUUUUACUAAGAGUUAAAAGGUUUUAAUUGUAGAAACCACUAAUCUUGCAUUUUAUUAAUUAUCAUAUGUGGAAUUCCAAAAUUGGCAAUUAAUUAUUUUUAGAGUUUAUAUAAAUUUUUAGUAGUUUUGACUUUCAAACAGAUAAUAAAAUAUUGCAUUUGUCCCCCUUUUUUACUAUAGUAAUUCAAACUUCGAAAAAAAUUUAAAGAUGUAGCAGGUGGAAUAUGUGUCAAUAUGAACUCCAUUCUUCUUGCUAGCCCUUGAGAACCAGUUCAAUCUGCAUUAGAGACUAAUAGCUUUCAUUUUAUUAAAUUAGAAACACUAGUUUAUGGGUAGACUAUAUACAAUGGAAAGUAGGUCAUAGACCCAAGCACUUAGUGUCUCAUUGUAAUAUACACAAGUUAAUAGAGUGCAAUUAACUUUCUAUAGUGGAAUGUUGAGUCAAUUUCAAAAUUGAAUUAUAAGGGAAUCGAUACUAUCCUUGUGGGUCUUAAUGGUCCUUGCUCGAACUCAUAUAUCUUGAUGAUAUGGUUUAAGAGGGUUGAAUCGGUUUUUAGUUCACUUAUGUACAUAAAGGUGUUUUGAUGAUUGCGAAAGGUUGCACAAAAACUAAUGAACAAUAUCUCUUAACUAUGCUAAUUGAUUAAUUAGUCUCCUAUUGGAUUGUUAAUUAAUUAGGAUUCUUUUAGACUUGAUUAAAUAACUCAAGCCCAAGGUAGGCUCAAGUCUCUUAAGUGUAGAGGGAAGUCUAUAAAUUCCCCCAUAGGGAUUAGGGCUUUAGACUAAUGCCUCUUCCAUUUUUUCCUAUAUGUUUAUAUAGAGAAUCCUAGCCUCCAACCUUUAAAGAUCUCCACCAUCCAAUGCUAAGGCUCAAGGACAAAUGAUUGGGUGGAAAAUUAGUGGGUUUAGAAGACUUUCAACUACUACCGUGCACUCGACAAUGUUCUUGAUUGCAAAGAUCAAUUCUAGGAACAUUCGAAUUUUCGAUAAGCACUUCUAACCCGUAAUACUAGUUCCUAUUAAGUUUUGAAUGUUAUUGUUUCCAUUGUGCAUAAGGAUCUAGUGGCCCUAGGAAUAGUUGCAUACACCAAAUGAGAUUCAAGGCUUGAGAACAAAGUAAUUUGGGAUUCAUAAAAACUAGUUCAUAAAAGUUGUGUCUUUAAUGUUUCUCUUCUACACACAACUAUAUUUUUUCAAAUUUUCUUACUAAGCAAAUAGAUUCUAAAUCAUAUGAGACCAAAUCAAGUAAGACUUAAUGCUUUGAAUUCUUUAAUGGAUCUACUAAUUUUUAGAGUUUGCAAAGUAUAUAUAAACUUGGUUUAUUUAGGUAUUAAAAAAAUUGAAAAUUUUCUUGUUUUUAAAUAAAACUUGGCUUAUAUGAUAUUAAGAAAUUAUGAUUUUUUUUUUCAAUACAUUUCAAAUAAAAAAUUAUUAACCAAAAAAAAAAAAAAUCAAUUAUACCUUUAUGAAAAUGUUAAUAUUCAUAUUUCAUAAUAUAUACUACAAUAAUAUAUUUUUAAAAUAUAUAUAAAUUUUUUAUUUUAUUGUAAUAUUAAUAUUCACAUUUUAAUAAAAACUAUUUAUUUGUUUAUCGAUUUGAAAUUACAAUUUUUUUUAAUAAGACUUGAAUUAAAUUUAAUUAAUCUUAUAAAAAUUGAAUUAAUAUCUUAUAAAAUCAAAAUAGAAAAUAUUAUUUUUAAAAAAACUCAAAAAAUUAUCCAAACAAUUUUUUAUUUUAUUUUUUUCUCUUUAAAAAUGUUUUUAAAAAACACCUUUAUUUUUAGAAAAUACCAAAAGACUAUUUUUUGUUCUUUAACUUAAUAUAUAUAUAUAUAUAUAUAUAUAUAUAUAUAUAUAUAUAUAUAUAUAUAUAUAUAAUAAGUUCUUAAAAAAAUGCCAAAUAGACCCUUAGAUAUUUUUUAUAUAUACAAUAUUUAUGUUGGAAUUAAGCCCUAGAAAGGAUAACAUGAUGUAAUAGAUAUAGAUGCAUUUAUAAACUUAUUUAUUUUUGUUUCUUGGUUUCCUUUUAUUAACCCAUUUGCAUUAAUUGGUUAUUUGAGCAUUCAUGCCCCACAUCACUCAUAUUGUACAUAGUUUGGGUGUAUUAGGAGUUGCACAGAAGAUUCAAAUCAUAGGUUUCUUGUAGAGUGAUGAGUUGUUCAUUGUCAGUUUAUGGAUUUGGGUAAUCCAUCUGAAACUGUAAUAUACUACCUCCUAAUUAGAGGGAUGAUUUGUCUUGACCGUUAGGAUGGUUUUUACAUGGUGAGUGCACUAGUGUAUGUAAUGCGCAUUGGAUAGGACCUAUGGUGAAUCAUGACGUAAGGUUAUUAAUUAUCAUGAUUCACCAAGCUACUAUAUUGUAUGGACCCUUAACUUUGAGAGGAUAUUGAGUUUGUACCAAAGUCAACAUAAGACUUUGACCUAUGAGUGAGAUCCUGAGGGAGUCUUAUAUCCCUAUGUAUUGGGUCACAAUCGAUGGAAAAGUUUUCUAAAAAAAGGCAUCAUGAUAUCUCAUGGAUUGAGAUAGUGUGUUCCCUUGGGUGACAUAUUCCCUAAAAUACUAUAGUCAUAGCAUUUUUUUUAAUAGAAAUUUGACAUAUCUUCCUUGGAGUUAGAGUAUGUCAAUUGAUCAUAUAAUAAAUGAAAUCUAUAACUCAACUAUUAGAGAGGUAAUCUUGAUAGGUGAUAGCACUAUCUUAUUAAAUUAUGGACACCAAUUCAUGGGGAGUCUGCAUGUAGUGGAUAGUAGGUCACAAACUCAAGGUACGUCUCAUUGUUAUUUAUAUAAGGUAUUGAAGUAUAAUUGAUUCUCUUUAGUGGAAUGUUGAAUCAACUUCAAAAUUGGAUUUUGAGGGAGCCAAUACUCCUAUGGACGACCCCCCCCUAGUUCCUAUUCUAAGCUCAUAUACCAUGGUGACAUAGUUUAUGAGGGUUAAAUUGACUUUUGGUUUACUCUUGUGCAUAAGGGAAUUUUGGUAAUUGUGUAAGGCUACACAAGGGAUGGUAAACAAGUUAUUUGAAUUAAGCUAAUUGAUUAAUUAGAUGACUUUAUAUGGUUAAUUAAUCAAUUAAAACCCAUUUUAGAUUAAAUUAAGUGACCAAUCUUUGGUAGGCUCAAGUCACUUAAGCUUAGUAGGGGAACCCUAUAAACACCCCUUUAGAGGUUAGGGUUUCCUUCACUUUUGGAGAGAGAAUCGUCUUCCACCUCUAAAAAGAGAAAGCUUAGGAUUCCUCUAUCCAAAGCCCACACUUUAGAGUGUCAAGAUCGUGGUUCGAGUCAUCGAGCAAAAGAUCUUAGGUGUGCGAGACUUUCAAAUUCUUUGUUCUUCAUUUUCAUCGAGCAAAAUUGAUUUAGGAAUAUCUAAAUCAAAGGUAAGGUUUUUUAAUACUUUUCCUUUUGAUCCUAGAUUCAUAAAAAUAUGUUUUUUUUUUUUUUUUUUUUUUGCUUCCAUUGCAUAGGAUCUAGAGGCCUAAGGUAGUUUGCAUACACCUAUAUGAUCAAGGUAUGGUAAUGGAGAGGUCUAAGGUUUCCAACAAUUUACUAACUAUUUCUUCAUGUUCUUGGUCAUAGAAGUCUUGUAUUUCUACAAGUUGGAGUUCACUCUACUAUGUUUAUGAGCUAGAUACGUGUGAUUUGCCUUGUUUUUUUGCAUUGGACUAAGGUUUGGUUAAUAUCAUAUUAUGAGGAUAACAAAACAAGGCUUGAUUCUAAAGUUCUUCUUUAAUUGUAAUUGACAAGAAGAUUCCCUUGGAGUAAUCAAGAAAAAAACUAUAUGAAGUUGAAGAGGAAAUAAAAAACAAGAUUUAUCAUGAUUAUUUUUAGGUUCAUUUAUGCAAGAUUAUGGGUAUUCUAAGUUAGGAUUGCAUAUCAUUUAUUUAAACAUUCAAAACUCAUCUAAUUGAACUCAAACUUACCUUAAAUUUCAAAAUUGGAUAAAAACUUUUUUAAAUGAAAAUCACCUUUGUAAUUGAUGUAUAAAACGUUUUCAAAGUCAUAAGGAGUUUGUUUAGGCUUUCCCUAUUGUUUUUAAGCUAAAAAAAUUGAAGUUUUCAUAGAAUCUUGGAAAAUUAGAUCAAUAGGUGGAUCUAUAGAUGGUUGAGGAGCAUAUUGACCUAUGGUCAAUCUAUUGAGGGGAUUUGAUCUCCAAUCUUGGCGUUGGCUACCAUUUGAGGUUGAACUUCAACUAAACAAUCUUAACAAUGGUUCCCUUUGAUUUCAAUAGGUUAGUUUGGUUCUCAUAAAAUACUAAGAAAAGAAGAAAAAAAAAUGUUAAAGAAAAUUAUUUUCUCCUUUUUGGUUGUACCAUGUAAAAUAUGAAAAUAUGUAUAUAUCUAUAUAUAUAUAUAUAAUUAAAAUAAGUUAAAAAAUUAUGUAUUUUCAAAUUAUUUAAUUUUUAUAUGGAGGAGUUAAAAUAAGUGAAAUAAAUUUGAAAUAUCAUAUAAAAAUAAUUUAUUAACUUUAAUUUUUGUUUUUUUUUAAAAAAAAUUCUUUAUUGUUUCUUUCUUCUAUUUUUCCUCUCUAUUUUCUUUUCCUUCAAAAUUUUCAAGAAUCAAACAUAGCCUUAAGUUCAUUUAACUUUCUAAAUAAACAAUCUAGCUUUUCUAGGUAUUGAUCAAUCAUCUUCCUAUGACAAGUUUUGACAACGAGACAUACUUGAGACCAGUAAUAACAUUAGCCUUAGAUAGAGUGUUGUCUUAUACUUUUUAAGUUAUUUAAACAUGAGAAUGAAUGAGAAAAAUAAUAAGAUAUCCAUUACUAUUCCUUAUUUCCUUGUAUCAAACACGCCUUUAGGGUAAAACUCUCAUAAAAUAAUAUUCUUAGGGUUGAGAACCAAAAGAAAAUAGUCUCAUUAGUUUCUGAGUAUCAUUACCCAAUAAUAUGGCUAAUUAACAGUAAAAAAAAGGUCUUCAAUAAUCAACCCUAGAAGCUCAUUGAUUCCUAUUUUGAUAGACUAAUAUAUUUCGUAAGAGGAAACAGUUUAAACAGACAUGCCUAACUAACGAUGAUCGUACUCCUAGAAAAGGAGAAAAGGAGAACACAAAACAGAUUGAGAACCCAAACUUUUCUAGUUGACCAAGCACUGUUUCACCUCUAGGUGUUUAACCAAAUUUCAAAGCCUUCAAUCACCAAGCUAGGUAACUUCAACUCCAGCAAUGUCUAAAAUUUGAUUGUACAUCAUUGUUGAUCUAUGAUUAAAAAAAGAAACAAAAACAACAAAAAGCACCAGUUUAGAUUUUAGUAAAGUCCACACAAAGAAGGCAACAACGUUAAAAGACAUUACAUAUGUGCCUAGGGCACUUGGGUUCUGCUAAUUCAACUCAGCUACAUGGGUGAUUCUGCCAAUCCUAUUUCUAAAUUCCUAAAACAUGUUACAUGAUCCAACUUACUCUUUUAGGUUCUGCUACUAAUCAUAUUACUGCCGGAGCUGCAUCUCUGUCUCACUUUUCCAAGAAGCAUGAGAUGACUGCCCUUUCAUCCUCUUGUUCUUCUCCUUUUCUUUGAUGGUUGAUCCCUUCUUCUUGUCAGUCUCUUUAUUUGCAUCUGCAAGUGGGCGAUCCCCACAUUGUGGGCAGACCAUUCCUCGCUCACUGGAGUAUGUCUUGGGUAUUCCACAUCGCAUACACAUCCUACAACCAAAACCAGAAUUGAGAUUGAUAGGUUGAUAAAUAGCUAGAUAGAUGGGGUUGUGUUCAUUAACUUGGGCUACCCAUUGACAAAAAAGCAAUGAUGAUGCACCUCAGAAGUUCAGCAGCAUCUUCUGCAUUAGGAUUAGCAGCAGUUGCCACCCGCUUCCCUUCCCCUUGUGUUGUGCUCAAAGAACCCUUUGGAGGUUGAACUGAUGAUUUUGGAGCAAGGUUACCCUCAAUAUCACUUCUCACUCUCUCAUGAUCUAAGGGAUAACAUUAAAUCAAGACAAAAACCAUUUUCUUACAGAGGAACAAAACAAUAAAUUGAGACAGAAGCGCAUAAGAGCUGAAUCUAUCUCUCAACACCGAAAACAUAUGGUCAAUAGUUUGAAACACAUAAUUCUUAGGAAUUUAAAACCCAUAAUUAGUCUGGGCAAUGGAUUUUAUUUUUUCGCGUUUUUCUUUAUCAUUUUCCCCAGCCUGAAUGCCUUCAACAAAUUAGCAGGUGAAGCAACACUAUCAGAAAUAUGCACCACACUGAAGAAUCCCAUCAAUUCUGCCAUUGCAAAGGAAAUAUUUGGUGAGAGAAGAGCUAGAAGAUUGUGCAGCAACUGCAUCUCAUGUGGAAAUUUAUGACUUACAAGGAAAGUAAUGGGAAUGGUGCACUUUCUGAGAUUCAGAAUUCUAGAACAGAUGUGUAGACCCCCAUUUGGGGCUUCAUCUCUCAGGCAGCCUGUUUUGACAAGUGUCGCAUUCCCAUAGGGCCACGUGUCGCCUCGUGGUUGGUGGUCAUAGAAUCAGAUAGUGGAAUUGAGGAACGAGUGAGAGUUUGACACGUGGCAUGGAGAUAUUCUGGCCGUUAGUGUGGAGCGUAUAUUUUUCUGUUAGAGGAGAUUCGUUGACAGGAAGGAGGUGGCCUUUUGGGUGCAGAGAUUGGCUGGUUACUAAAGGGGAUUCUAAAGAGAGAGUGGAGGCGGCGUUUCUGUGACAGAGUGGGGUGCUUUUUGAGAGGCUGGCUGGAGAUAUUUUGCAGGGAUUCUGGCAGAGCUAGAGGAGAGGAGACUGAGUGGAGGCGGCGUUUCUGUGACAGAGGGGGGGGGUGCUUUUUGAGAGGCUGGCUGGAGAUAUUUUGCAGGGAUUCUGGCAGAGCUAGAGGAGAGGAGACUGAUUUUCUGAGGUUGCUGGAGAGAGGAGUACGUUUCUGUUGUGGAGGAGCGUAUGAGGGAGAGAACCAGAGAGGGAGAACAUAGAGGUUUGAGGCUGCACAGGAGGGAGUUUUUCAGGGCUGUUUGACAGAGAUUUUGGGCGUGUUUUUGGCUAGCUGGAGCUGGAGAAGGAAGACGGCAGAGCACAGAGGAAAACCAAAGAGAAAUUAAAAGAAAACAGAGGGAAGAAAACGAGCAUCCUCAGGUACGUUAGCUUAACCACAUUUUGCUUGCCAUUGAUAUCUUUUGGGGUUGCUGUGACUAUGUGAUAAUGUAUCCAUGCUUUGUUCUUCAUAGAAAAUUUGUUUUAGAAUAAUCUGAUUCCUUUAUAGCUCUCAUUUGAAUGUUUGAGUCACAUGUUUGAGAUCUUAGUUCCCCCUGUUUUUUUUCCCACCCAUGUAUAAGCCCAUUGACUCCAGCAUGAAAUGGAGGUCGGGUCAGUGUUUUCUUUGGUUCAGUUGAUACUCUAUUUUUGUGCUUGCUCCCUUGCUGUUCAUGCUCUGUUCUCGAUGGCCAUUCAUACCCCUCCAAGGAGAAGAGUUUUUGGCCAGCAUUGCCUUGAUUUCUUUAUGGGCACAGUUUCUGAGCUUGGGUAGCAGUUGUUUCAUUUGUUCGUGAGAUUGCUGGGUUAUUUUGCUCAAAAAGAUUGGUGACGGCCAAAAAUCAGGGCAUUAGUGUUAUCUUUUGACUGUUGGUGGUUCAGGGUACAUAUUUGGGUCUUAGCAAGGGGCAAUGUUAUCUGCUAGUCAUCAGAUAUGAGACGCUAGCACUUUGAGAGCAUGGGUUGGAUGUUUAGCCAAGAGUGUUAGCAGAGAAGACGGGUGUUGUAGAAAAAUUGAAUUCACCUGAGGAGAGAGGAAAGUAUCCAAAAGCAGAAUCAAUUUAUGUACAGAUGUUUAUGGGGAUGGGCAACAUGUCAGCAAAUCAAUGGAUUAAUAGACUACUAUAAUACAUCCACUUCAAGAGAUUGGACUGGACGAGUGAAGAGCUUUAAAGCUGCAGGUAGCACUGGGGAUGGAUUGAUGCCUAUACUCCACAAAUUAGCACCUCCGGUGGCAUUAUUUUCUGCUCGGGGACCCAAUAUAAGAGGUUUCAACUUCCAAGAUGCGGAUCUUCUCAAACCAGAUAUUCUAGCUCCAGGUCCUCUCAUUUGGGCUGCCUGGUCUCCAAAUAGAACGGAUGAGGCCAAUUAUGUUGGGGAAGGGUUUGCAAUGGUCUCUAGAACUAGCAUGGGCAGCCCACACCAAGCUCCAAUAACUGCUUAGCUUCUGGUCCUGGCUUCCUGUGCUUCUCUUGAAGGGUGAAAUGAUAGCUUUGCUCCAUAUUCCUUCAGAUCCAUUGAAGAACCUCCACAGGAUUAUGGGUAUUCUGGAGUAUCACGCUGACUACUACUGGAAGGUGGGUAUGCUGCCAAUAUUCCUCUAUCGAUUGAGGUUCAAUGCCACUCUCAAGGUUAUGGGAACUCACGUGGCUAUUACUGUAAAUGGAUCAAACUGCCACUUUGAACUGAAUGUAUUCAAGUCAGUGAUUGCUAGUGGUUUCCCAAUAUCGAUCAGGUUGCUAGGUGAUGUAUCCGCUUUUUAGGAAGAGAGUUGUUGAAAGAUGGGCAAUGAUGACAGGAGAAGAAGACGACUGUAGCAGCAGGUUUUUGAAGAAGCAUCUCUUUGAGAAUUUGUUAAAGCAUCCAGAGUUCAUGACAAAUACUAAAUUGGCUAUAAGUGAAACAUAUCAACAAGCUGACAUGAUUUUUGUCUGGAUACUGAAAGAGAUACUUACCGAGAUGAUGGUUCUACUGCUCCCACAGCAGUGCUUGUUGGUAACCAUCUCUAUGUUGCCAAUGUUGAAGAUUUGAGGGGAUCACCAGCGAAUAAAGUGCAACAUUUCCCUGUUGAGGAUGUUCCUCCAGUUCUUCUAUGUCAAGAUACCCAUCAGAUCUCCUGGACAGGAAUCAGUCAUCUCGUUUGUCAAACUUUGGUGGAUCACAAAUUUCAGCACACUAUAAUCCUUAUGCAUCUACUCUUGAACAGGCACUUAGCUCCAAAUUCAGUUCUAAUGUUUUCAGACAAGAGAGGACCUGCGAGCAGGAGAAACCAGCCUUGAAGAGGAAGAACCAGAGAGUGAAGGAAAUCCCACCUGGCUCGUAAAGCUGCAUGAGAUCCCAACCCAUUGACAAAGAACCAAGUCAUACUCGGACCAUAUGCCAAGGACCCUAGUUGGAUCGCUCAUAAUGGUUGCUUUCAAUGCGAGAAGGGAUAGGUCAUCAGAGUUGAAAGAAGAAGAAAGCAUCUUAGUGAGGGCAGCAGAAUAAUCCCUGCGCUGAUAGAUGGCAGCGCGCUACUGGUUUCCGAAAAGAAGAGACGACGUUGGAGUGCAUUCCUACAUGGGUGGUGGCGGCUAUCUGCACCGUCAUUGUCACCAUUCCUCCUACUGUCAAGCGCCUGCCGCACUUUCUUGACAAAUACUUGAAGAAGUCCAGAUGUGGAAGGGCGUGACACUUUUUGAGAGAGAAUUGGAGGAGCCAGAGCCAACUAUUGCGUGGAUACUAUCCAGCGACUUGAUUCCCCCCAGCUCUUCGAUUCCUGGCUUGACUGCAUCAAAGAGGGUCAAACGGAAGUGGAGUUUGAUUGAUGGCACCAGGGGUCAGCAAGUUGGUUCUUCACUGGCUCUUGGGCUAGGGCGUUCAUCAAGUCCCUCAGACAACAAAGGGAGUUCAGCCACUGCUUGCACUACAAUGCCCUCAGCCAAAGAAAAUGAAGAAGAGUCCUCUACAAACCCUGAAUUGGACUUCACUCUGCGGCUUGGCAACGAACAAACACCCAGCCCAAAGAAAUAUGCUGACUCAAGUCUGAAAGCACUGGAACUGCAGACAGGUAUUGACCUGGAGUUGAGUCUCUCUACUGGGCCUGCCGAAUCCGAUAUCACUAGUGUCCAUGCAAGCUCUACUCUACUCCGCAAUGCCAUAGAUAUGCCAUUGAGAGUUGCCAGAGUUGUGCAUCUAGAUGAAGGCUCAACAUCAUAUCCAUGGAAACCAGGGACUUCUUCGUCAUUUCCAUUGAUAAAACCAUGGACACUAGAUUACAUUCUUACUUGAUUUUCCUUCAUAACCUUUCCACUUGUGCGUCAAUGUAUGGCCACCUAUGCAUGGCCACCUUUGACCCGAGUGCUAUCUUCCUUUUUACCAUCUUUAACUUAUUAAAAUCACUUUCCAAAUCCUUUUUUUCUUCAAAUAAGUUCCCGGGUUUUAGUUUUUAAAUAAUCCCAACUUCAAAUUUUCCCAUCCUUAGCAUUUUUCUUAAGUUCCAAAAAUCCGCUUUUUAAUAAAAUAGAUUGCCAUUUUCUCUUCGGCAAGUCUUCUUCACAUUUUCUUCGUCUUUUUUUAUGUUUUGAAAUAAAAGUGAAUUUAAAUUCCGUAAUUCUAAAUAAUGGAAUUUAUGGAAUUAAUUCAUGCAAAAAUAAACGAGCUUUGGUGGGGGCCCGACAUAAGUGAUUCUAUAAUUGAUUGAUUAAUUGAUCGAUUUAAUUGCCAUGUAUGAUUGAUUUAUCCUAUUCUCUAACGUGCAUGCUAUUAUCCCUAAAUUGUGCACUAACUCUCUCUUUUGGUAGCACUUGGUGGCUCGUUGCCCAGGUACAUACCCACUUUCACUCUGGUCACCCUAUAUACAUGUAUUGAUUCUCACGCGUGCAUGAUUGAUUCGAGUUUUCAUUGAUUUCCUUAUUAGAUGUCAUAGUUGCUUCAUUUCAUUAGUAGAGACCCGACUUUAGGGACUUAAAGGGGUGUUACAGUCUUUAUCGUACCUUCCCAAUAAGUAACCUGACCCCCGAACUCGAUCUAGUUUUUCAUAGACCAUCUUUUCCAAAAUAAAGAGUCACACUUAGGGUUUUUCUUUUUUAUUUUGUUUACCCUUUAAAAAUAAAAUAAAAAUAAGUGGCGACUCCAAGUCAUUUUCUUAAUCAAUAAAAAUCAUUUUUUAAAUAAAAAUCGAGCUCGCCAUCGAAUGGGAAACGCAUGAGCUGAAAAUGCGGGGUCCACAAAAUGAUUUGAUUUAAGGCAUCUGAUGACAUUUUCCGAGAUUCAGAAUUCUAGAACAGAUAACUGAUUUAAGGCAUCUGAUGAUAAUUUGAAUUUCCAACACCCCAAAUCUCAAUCAGACAUAAAGCCCCAUAGUGUAUGAUUUAUUAUAUUAAAGGCUUUGAUGUAGCACAUCCCUCAACUGUUGAGCAAGGCUGCUUAUAAUCAAACAACAUUCUGGUUGAACUACAGUUGUACAUGUGAGAUGUAGAUGAAAACAAAGUGCACGAGUAGAUAACGAUAUGAGUGGUUAUGUCCUUUUAAGUGGUUUAAGGAUUGAAAAUAAAUGCACAAGCUUGUUGAAUUUCUGGACAAGCAAGGAAGAAGAUUAAAGAGUUUGGUAAUGGAGUAAAAAUAGGGAAAAGGUUUCUGAUUGAAGGUAGGGCUUCAGAAUAAAGUGCACCAAGUGGUGCUGGUUAUUUGUAGAGCAGGAUAUAUGGACAGCUUACCAUAAAAAUAAAUAAAUAAAUAAAUCAAGAAGAAAAGCAAAAGAAGAAGAUAGAAAACUUUCCAUAAGCCCAGUUAUCAAACCCAUCUCCUACUAAAAUUUAGAGACUUCCGAAAAAAAAGGAAUAAAUUAUCUAAUAACUACAUAAGAGCAUCGUAUCCACUAUGAAAGGUGGAUCCUUCAAUUUCACCAAAAAUAGCCGUAUUGACAUGAAAUGACAUGAGUGUGGGUGUAGUAUCCUUGUUGGAUACUCCUAUUUUACUUUAGAAGUGACUGAUUUUUUUUCAUUGAUAUCAUUUUAUUCUUUCAACUUUAUUGUUAAUAAUCAUAUUAGAGAAAAAGAAGAGUUAAUUGAAAAGUGAAUUAUUGAAAAAAAAAAUGAAGGAUAAGAGGAAAAAAAAGAAAUUAGAAGGAAAAUAUCACAGCUUUUAAAAAUAAUAUCUUCACUUCAUAUUUAUUCUUAAUUGAUUUUUCUUUUAUUAUGUCAUAUCCUAUAAUAGUGCCCCUUUCUGGAUCUUUUAGUCGAGUCCUCAUAUCCUAAAAUUGGUGAAGGAUCGGACACUUAGACACAUACCGGUAUCUGACAAUCAUACUUACAACCAUGCAACAUAGCUUAUCCAAAUAAAUAAACAGGGUGAACGAUGCAAAACAUUUUUAAUAUUGAAAGUGUAAAUUUUUCCAAAUCCGAGGAGCCAGGUAGGGUGAACGAUGCCCCAACUAGAGGUACUCUAUCUUGCGCUACCUAUUAUGGGAACCGUUGGUUUGACAGACCAACCCCCCCAGGAUUUCCUUUCCUUUUAGGCAAUUUUAUAGAUUUUUUAUUUUUGGUUCUUUUGAUAGGCAAACUAAGGCACAAGGAAAUUAAAAGGAUCAAUUUUUUACAUAUACCAAGUUCAGGUAACUAAAUCAGCCAAACAACAUUAUUUAAUACCAUAAUAUCUUUGGCUUGACAUUUCAAUGACUGUUACCACUUUUCAAAUCAAAUCCAAUUGCAAACAACAUAUUCAAUUCCCCGUCCAAAUGAAUAUCAAUGUAAAUUAGACAACUCAUCCAAGACCUUUACAGAACUGCCCCAGAAACCAGGUAACAUCAUCCAACAAUAUUGAAGAUGGUUCACUAAACCAUCAGUCAUCACUUCCUCUGAAUCAAAAGAACGAUUUAGAGAAGCAAGAUGCAGCUAAAUCUUAUAACAGCAAAGUUUGGGGCAUAGCUGGAGACAAUAAAUUGAGAGGUUAUGGUUGGUUCCCAAAAGAUUUAGGAGAAAAUGUGAGGGAAAAAAAAUAUAGAAGAAAAAUGAAAGAAAAAGUGAGAAAAUAAAAUUUAAAAUCAAUAAAUUAUUUUUUUCUAUUAUUCCAAACUCAUUUCACUUAUUUUAACUUUUUUAUAUAAAGAAAAAAGAAUUUACAUACGAGUUUUUAACUAUUUUAUAUUUUAUUUUCUUUCGCAUUUUCCAUUACAAUAAAACCAAAUACGAGAAAAUCAUUUUCUUUAAUGGUUUUUUCAUUCUUUAAUACUUCCCUAGAAUCAAACACAGUGGGGAUAUCCCGGGAAAGUGAGAAAAGUGACUUAAUCAGCUUAUUUUGGGCUCUCUGUGAAAGAUAAAGAACACUAAGAGAAAUUUAAAAGAAUCAUGUGUUAAUAAAAUAUUAAAUUUGUUGUACAUUGAGAUAGAUCAAGCAAGAAAUGCUCACACUACUAAUUUGGCAAACCAAAAAAGAUCAAGCAAUUAUAAAUUUAUCAAUAUUCUGCAAGAAAUUAAGGACCGUUUAGUGCUUGAAGUGACAAUAAUUUGUUUUCAGGAAUAGAGAAAAUGAAAAAUGACACAAAAACAUAAUUAGUACUUGUUUGUAUACACACCUUGUUUAUUUUUUUCAAAAAUAGAAAAUGGUAGUGUAGAUCCCCAAAUUGGGAUAUAUUUAAAGCAUUUUUUGCAAUUAGUUUUUGGCCAGGUGUCGCGCGCUUAGGCAGCCACGUGUCACUCCCGGAUUGGCUGUUGAAGAUUCAGAUGGACUUUUGAGGAACCAAUAGAAGCUUGACAAAGAGAAAAGAAAAAUGGAUGAAAAGACCGUGAGAAGAGAAACAGCUGGGGGCUCUGAAGCUGCAGGGGAGGCAGAGCUUUCUGGGCUGGCGGCUAGAGAGAGAUGAUUCAGGAAUAGCAGCGAGUGAGCUUUUUCUGCCAUCGGGAAGAGUGAGCAAAGGGGAGGUGAUUUGAGGUGGCUUCCUGGCCGUAAAGAAGGGAGACAUUUUUCAGCUGCAGAGGAGGUCUCUUUCCUAGGGGGUUGGAGGACUUUUUGGGGAAGCCAGAGGUUUGAACUUUCGGGAGAGGCCAGCUGUUGCAGGCAGGGAGAAAAAUUCAUUGAGAGAGUCGAAGCUCGGUUCUUGUGGUUUAAGGAGUCCAGGCCACUAGUAGCUUGCGGAGGAAAAGGAAAACAGAGGAAGAAAAGAAGAAGGAUCUUAGGCGAGAGGGUUGGCUGAGGAAGACACAAACUGAGAAAGAAGCGGGCUGGGAAGGUUUUUUUGAGAAGGGACUUUCCAGGUACGAACCCCAUAUUCACCAUUGUCCCUGUUUGUUAUUUUCUCUACUUUGUCUCCAGAUAUUAUUGUUUGUUUCAGGUAUGUAUAUCAGGCCAUAUUGUUAGCUUUCCUUGAUCUCUAGAAUAACCAUGGAUUUAUGAUCAUUAUUUUAUCAUCUUUCCCUCUUGGUUUUGUUGAAGAGUAAGCCGACUAUGUUUUUAGCUUCACUAUGAAAUAUCUCAGCAUUCAUUCCCAUAUAUUUGUAUGAACCUAUGGUCGUUCAAUCCGUUAGCAAGCUUGUUGAAUGAAGCAUGAAACGGGC